GUAUAUUUUCAGGAAUCCUGUUGUAGUUUGUGAGUGUUGUUCAUUAGUCACACAUUAGUGUAGAGUGGAUGCAUGAUGCCCCAUGACCCCAGCAAUUCUUACCAGUGAGUAGGUACCCAGCACCGUCUCUCACCCGUAGCCCUCUUCAGCAUUGCCCUGUGGCCUGUUGCAUUCUAGUUAGUGUGCAUCGUGUUUUACUGAUCUCUUGGGUGCUUCUUGUAAACCACAGGAAGCACAUUUGUCUUAGUCGCACAAAAGAUGAAAGAGAUAAAGGGCAUUGAAGCAGAAAUGUGUGGUUUGGGGUAAGAUAGGAAAACUUGUGUCCAAGUUAAUUUCAAAGUAACUGCUCUUAGGCAGAGUGCUCUUAAGGGGAGUCUAGUAAGCAACUUUCUGGGCACUUCUGGUUUCGAUUCUCUUCGUUACUGAAACUCCUGAGAACUAUUACCUGUGGAUUAGUUUUGCACAAUGUCCUAUUCUCACAGUGACUUAAAAUUAGACUAGGUUUUUAAUUGAACUACCUCACACCGAUUUUCUAUGCUUUCCCAAGUAAGCUGUUGCCCUUACUGUUAGACCUUUACUCAGUGUAAAUUUUAAAUGUGCGUUGAAUACUUUAUAGCCACUGUUGACAAAAUACCAGUAAGUGUGUGAAGUGCAAGCCUUGCAUCAGUAAGAGACAGUCCCGUGCAGUCUUCCACUGCGUCUGGGGAAUUGUGCUGCAUAUGCUUAUUGACAUCAUCACUGUUUUGUAAGAAACCUGCUCAAGAUAUCAGUCCACGCUUUACAUUUUACAAAAGGAGGAAAUCUUAGUAAAUUUUACGAAGAAAUAAAUUACUUUUGUAGGCCCAAUAUUUGGUAUAUUUUUGAGAAGCUGUUAAUCUUAUAGCCGAAUGAUGAAGUUAAACUGAAGUAGCUGUCUGCCUGGACUGUGACGUCUAUUUUCUCAUUACGUUUUACCCUGUUAAUAAGGUUUUAAACCUCAAAACAUAGGAUAAUAAUUAGAUUUUUUUUCUCUCUCCCUGUGUGUGUCAUUCCUUCUUCCUCCCUCCUCUUCCCUGUGCUCUCCUCUCUUCUCUCUAGACAAAACAAAAUGGGGCACUUUGUAGGGAAUGCUGAGAUCAUUAUUGUGGUUUACUCGUUCAUGCCCUAGUCAUUAAACAUGCACCACUGGAUGUAAACAGUGUUAUCUAGUAUGUCAAUUGGUUAUAAUAUUUUAAAUAAAAAAGAAAAAGUGGUAUG
Molecule: long non-coding RNA, 1236 nt
Filed under: Rattus norvegicus (Norway rat)
Lineage: Eukaryota; Metazoa; Chordata; Mammalia; Rodentia; Muridae
Description: long non-coding RNA NONRATT011800
Source: RNAcentral